AAGGGGGACUGUUAACAGCAUAGGAUUGAGGAGCUGGAAGAGACCUUUAGAACAGCUGGUCGUUAUGCUGACCAGAUGUCUGCACUAAGUUCAGCAUCAAUAUUGUAACCUCCUAGAAGUGGGGGGCCACCAGGUUGCCUAAGGAUGGGUGAACUGGUCCAGGUCAGAAAGGGAGCAGGUCAGAACUCCCGCACCGACUGCUAGUGGGACUGUGCCUGGGCCAUAUGGCAAGAUCUUGGUUCUUAAAAGUAAAAAUAAAGAACAGCAGCUCAUUCCCU
This 278-nucleotide small RNA is filed under the name Piliocolobus tephrosceles (Ugandan red Colobus). RNAcentral describes it as "Metazoan signal recognition particle RNA (ENSPTEG00000022593.1)". The stretch from base 67 to 221 matches the Rfam family "Metazoan signal recognition particle RNA", at positions 97 to 251 of the family's 299-position model. Rfam says of the family: The signal recognition particle (SRP) is a universally conserved ribonucleoprotein. Lineage: Eukaryota; Metazoa; Chordata; Mammalia; Primates; Cercopithecidae. The record is from RNAcentral.